CCGAGUGCUUGCACUCAAUUGGAAAGAGGAGUGGCGGACGGGUGAGUAACACGUGGGUAACCUACCCAUCAGAGGGGGAUAACACUUGGAAACAGGUGCUAAUACCGCAUAACAGUUUAUGCCGCAUGGCAUAAGAGUGAAAGGCGCUUUCGGGUGUCGCUGAUGGAUGGACCCGCGGUGCAUUAGCUAGUUGGUGAGGUAACGGCUCACCAAGGCCACGAUGCAUAGCCGACCUGAGAGGGUGAUCGGCCACACUGGGACUGAGACACGGCCCAGACUCCUACGGGAGGCAGCAGUAGGGAAUCUUCGGCAAUGGACGAAAGUCUGACCGAGCAACGCCGCGUGAGUGAAGAAGGUUUUCGGAUCGUAAAACUCUGUUGUUAGAGAAGAACAAGGACGUUAGUAACUGAACGUCCCCUGACGGUAUCUAACCAGAAAGCCACGGCUAACUACGUGCCAGCAGCCGCGGUAAUACGUAGGUGGCAAGCGUUGUCCGGAUUUAUUGGGCGUAAAGCGAGCGCAGGCGGUUUCUUAAGUCUGAU
This 542-nucleotide ribosomal RNA is filed under the name Enterococcus faecalis. RNAcentral's name for it is "bacterial SSU rRNA". It matches the Rfam family "Bacterial small subunit ribosomal RNA", at positions 62 to 593 of the family's 1533-position model. Lineage: Bacteria; Bacillati; Bacillota; Bacilli; Lactobacillales; Enterococcaceae. The record is from RNAcentral.